Molecule: long non-coding RNA, 210 nt
Filed under: Elaeis guineensis (African oil palm)
Lineage: Eukaryota; Viridiplantae; Streptophyta; Magnoliopsida; Arecales; Arecaceae
Description: long non-coding RNA (EGUI_LNC055748)
Source: RNAcentral
GGGCCAAGCACUAAAAAACUCUCAAUAAUAGUGAUAGUCAAGUUUGUAAUGAUAGAUUUUAUAUCUUUUAUAAUAUUUCUAAAAAUUACUACUAUAGAGUAUUUAUGAUAAUAAAUUUUACUGAGUAUUACUAAAAUUCUAUCACCAUAAACUUUAUUUGUGGUAGUAUACAAAACUCAUACUAUAAACUUGUUAAAAUACUAGCCCCAU